Molecule: long non-coding RNA, 1255 nt
Organism: Rosa rugosa (rugosa rose)
Lineage: Eukaryota; Viridiplantae; Streptophyta; Magnoliopsida; Rosales; Rosaceae
Exons: 3
Source: RefSeq, a predicted model, not a curated record
GAUGAUUUGUUUUGAGUGAUGCAUCUCUAUUGUUGUGAAGAAUGGUGCAUGCUUGAGUUUUACUAUAGAGAUUUACCGUGAUGCUAAUUGAGUAGCGAAACACUUUGUGGGAGUGUUUACUGUGCUUGUAUGCCAGUACAGAGUGAUGAUCUAUGUGAAGAUCUAUGUGAUGAUCUAUGUGAAGAUCUAUGUAAGGAUCUAUGAGAUGAUCCACGUGAUGAUUUUGUGUAAUUGAUGUGGAGUGAUGUUGAGCAGUUGUUUUGUGAAUUUACAUUGUGAUGAAAGGAUUUAGUGGCCAUAGGAAUGUAUUUUUAUACAAAGGAUUGUGGCUUUGUAGAUUACUACAGAUUUGGAAAAGAUAGAGAUUCUAUGAUUAGGUCAACCUUAAUCGAGAGGAAUUGACUUACGCUCAAAUUUCGGGACGAAAUUUCUUUAAGGAGGGUAGAUUGUAAUACCCUGAAAAAUCCAAAUUAAAUUCCAUGGAUUUUUAGAAAUGAUUUCACGAUAGUAGGAGCGAGUACGAAGCUUGGAGAAGUUGUGGAAUUAGUUCGAACGAUUUUAUUUUCGAAAACGAACGUUUUUAGGGGGUCAACAAAGUUGACUUUUUAUACGUUCAAAAUUUGGGAAAACUUCCUUCAUGAAAGUUGUAGAGCUCGUCGAUACGAGUUCGUGGACAUGUGGAACGCAUUAUUCGGAGUUCGUAUGAUUAAGUUAUGAAUAUUUGAAAAUUGGGAAUUUUCUAUAAAUAGGAAAAAUAACUGAUUUUUUUUAUUUAAGGACAAAAAAAAUUUCUUUUUGCGGAAGAGCCCCCAGCCCUCCCCGAUUCUCUCUCUCUGUUUUCCCCUCAGACCCGGCGGGUCGAGCUCGACCCGACCCGACUUUUUCACCCUCCUCCGGCCUCCUCUGGCCACGGACCCGGCCUUCCCCGAGCUCGCCGUCGCACGCCCAGCCGUUACCUGCCACCAUCUUGCCCCGCCGCUGCCCCCAGAUGGAGAUCGAAGACGCCCCAGCCGUGUGAACCCGACCCGACCGGAAAACGACUUUUCCGGCGUUGCAUGGGCCGAUCGUCCCCAUUUUCGUGAUCUCCUCCUCAUGCUGAUCAUCCCCAUACGCACGAGAUUAAUCCAACUUCAACGCUUGAUUUAGGACGAUCUAGGCCGAACCAGGCUUAGCUCCAGGUGAUCGAUGGAUUUAUUUGGCGGACGAUUCGUGAGAUUGUUAAUGGAGCUGUUAAGAAGACGCAGCUGGAAUAGAG